This 524-nucleotide ribosomal RNA is filed under the name uncultured bacterium. RNAcentral describes it as "bacterial SSU rRNA". It matches the Rfam family "Bacterial small subunit ribosomal RNA", at positions 23 to 518 of the family's 1533-position model. The record is from RNAcentral.
CUCAGGACGAACGCUGGCGGCGUGCCUAAUACAUGCAAGUCGAACGGUCUUUUCUAUGGAAGCUUGCUUCCACUGAGAAGAUAGUGGCGAACGGGUGAGUAACACGUGGGUAACCUGCCCAUAAGAGGGGGGAUAACAUCCGGAAACGGGUGUUAAUACCGCAUAGUUUUCUUGAUCGCAUGAUCGGGAAAGGAAAGACGGCCUUUGUGCUGUCGCUUAUGGAUGGACCCGCGGCGUAUUAGUUAGUUGGUGAGGUAACGGCUCACCAAGACGAUGAUACGUAGCCGACCUGAGAGGGUGAUCGGCCACAUUGGGACUGAGACACGGCCCAAACUCCUACGGGAGGCAGCAGUAGGGAAUCUUCCGCAAUGGACGAAAGUCUGACGGAGCAACGCCGCGUGAGUGAAGAAAGGUUUUCGGAUCGUAAAACUCUGUUGUCAGAGAAGAACAAGUUGGAGAGUAACUGCUCCAGCCUUGACGGUAUCUGACCAGAAAGCCACGGCUAACUACGUGCCAGCCGCAGC